AUUGAACGCUGGCGGAAUGCUUUACACAUGCAAGUCGAACGGUAGAGGGGGCAACCCCUUGAGAGUGGCGAACGGGUGAGUAAUAUAUCGGAACGUGCCCAGUCGUGGGGAUAACGUAGCGAAAGUUACGCUAAUACCGCAUACGAUCUAAGGAUGAAAGCGGGGGAUCGCAAGACCUCGCGCGAUUGGAGCGGCCGAUAUCAGAUUAGGUAGUUGGUGGGGUAAAGGCUCACCAAGCCAACGAUCCAUAGCUGGUUUGAGAGGAUGAUCAGCCACACUGGGACUGAGACACGGCCCAGACUCCUACGGGAGGCAGCAGUGGGGAAUCUUAGACAAUGGGGGAAACCCUGAUCUAGCCAUGCCGCGUGAUCGAUGAAGGCCUUAGGGUUGUAAAGAUCUUUCAGUGGGGAAGAUAAUGACGGUACCCACAGAAGAAG
This 437-nucleotide ribosomal RNA is filed under the name uncultured bacterium. RNAcentral describes it as "bacterial SSU rRNA". It matches the Rfam family "Bacterial small subunit ribosomal RNA", at positions 30 to 490 of the family's 1533-position model. The record is from RNAcentral.